Molecule: ribosomal RNA, 429 nt
Filed under: uncultured prokaryote
Also listed under: 1 other name
Description: bacterial SSU rRNA
Rfam family: Bacterial small subunit ribosomal RNA
Source: RNAcentral
UGGGGAAUAUUGGACAAUGGGGGGAACCCUGAUCCAGCCAUGCCGCGUGUGUGAAGAAGGUCUUCGGAUUGUAAAGCACUUUAAGUUGGGAGGAAGGGCUUACUAUUAAUACUAGUAAGUUUUGACGUUACCGACAGAAUAAGCACCGGCUAACUUCGUGCCAGCAGCCGCGGUAAUACGAAGGGUGCAAGCGUUAAUCGGAAUUACUGGGCGUAAAGCGCGCGUAGGUGGUUCGUUAAGUUAGGAGUGAAAGCCCCGGGCUCAACCUGGGAAUUGCUUCUAAAACUGGCGGGCUAGAGUAUGGUAGAGGGUGGUGGAAUUUCCUGUGUAGCGGUGAAAUGCGUAGAUAUAGGAAGGAACAUCAGUGGCGAAGGCGACCACCUGGACUGAUACUGACACUGAGGUGCGAAAGCGUGGGGAGCAAACAGG